This 449-nucleotide ribosomal RNA is filed under the name uncultured bacterium. RNAcentral describes it as "partial 16S ribosomal RNA". It matches the Rfam family "Bacterial small subunit ribosomal RNA", at positions 339 to 795 of the family's 1533-position model. The record is from RNAcentral.
CUACGGGGUGCAGCAGUGGGGAAUAUUGCGCAAUGGGCGAAAGCCUGACGCAGCAACGCCGCGUGAGUGAUGAAGGCCUUCGGGUCGUAAAGCUCUGUCGGGAGGGAAGAACACCUUCGGGUCUGACGGUACCUCCCGAGGAAGCACAGGCUAACUCCGUGCCAGCAGCCGCGGUAAUACGGAGUGUGCAAGCGUUGUUCGGAAUUACUGGGCGUAAAGCGCGCGUAGGCGGCUUGAUAAGUCAGAUGUGAAAUCCCUCGGCUUAACCGAGGAACUGCAUUUGAAACUGUCAGGCUUGAGUACGGGAGGGGGAAGCGGAAUUCCCAGUGUAGAGGUGAAAUUCGUAGAUAUUGGGAGGGACACCAGCGGCGAAGGCGGCUUCCUGGACCGAUACUGACGCUGAGGCGCGAAAGCGUGGGGAGCAAACAGGAUUAGAUACCCUGGUAGUC